This is a long non-coding RNA of Oncorhynchus masou masou (cherry salmon), 909 nucleotides long. RefSeq lists it as uncharacterized. The transcript is spliced from 3 exons. Lineage: Eukaryota; Metazoa; Chordata; Actinopteri; Salmoniformes; Salmonidae. The record is from RefSeq and is a predicted model, not a curated record.
CGAGGACUUUCAACGCUCCAGCGAGUUCCUGCCGGUCCCUGCCUGCCGGUUUCCUUCCCUGGCCUGCGCUGCUGUCCAGUAUUCGUUGGAGUUGAAAUAACAGAUAAGCAGACAGCCCCAGCCCACAUAGAAGGACUGGUUGAUCUGGAACAGUCGCAGGCCCAACCUUACACCAUGGAACCAUGCCAAAGAAGAAAACCGUUACAGAAUCACCCACCAACCAAGGACCAAGCGGCGUGGUAAACAGAGGCAACAGCAGCAGCAGGAGAAGCGACAGGUGCAGCAGGAGCAACAGCAGCAGCAGCAAAAGCAGCAGCAGGAGAAGCAGCAGCAACAGCAGUGGGAGAGGCUGCAUUAUUUGGAAGAAUGGACUUGGGAGGAGAUCCUUGACGGGAAAGGACCCUGGGCAGAGCCAGGGGAAUAUUGCCGCCCCAAAGUCAAGCUGGAGGCAGCGAAAGCAGAGAGGCGGCAUUAUGAGGAGCUAGCACGGCAGAGCGGCUGGAAGCCCGAGAGGCACCCCCAAAAAUUUCUUGGAGGGGGCACAAGGAGAGUGUGGCAGAGUCAGGUUCCAGACCUGAGCCAACUCCCCCUGUUUACCGUAAGUAGCCAUGGAUGUUAUCAGAGCUAUCGGCGAGCUGAGGGCUGAGUCUGAGAGGGUCGAGGCGUUAUUGGACAAAUUGGAGGAGAGUGAACGGAUGGGAGAUGACGAGACACUCGAGGAGGUGUUAAUAGAAUUGGAGGAGUGUGAAGAGAGAGGGCAGUUGAUUUGGCGUAGUAUGCAAGGCAUUCGCCCUGAGGUGUGUGUCCCCAGCCCGGUACCACCAGUGCCGGCACCCCACACCAGGCUGUCUCUCCGUCCCAUCAACACAGGUGUUCCCUCCUGUCCGGCGCUACCAGAGUUUCCGCAAC